GAUGAGAGCAGUUAAUAAAGCCUUGACUUCUUAUCUUAACUAAAUGAACGAUGAAUAAAGCUGCACAGUACGCUGUUUUCUUCUCACUGAUCACAGUGGGAGUUCUGGGACUGACAGUGGAGCAACAAGAACUCUCCUGGACAAAACAACAGUACAAAACUGUUUACUUAAACUGUAAAGUGACUGAUCUAGCCAGCAAUAACUACGUCCACUGGUACCAACAGAAAGAUGGAGAAGCUCUGAAAAGAAUUCUGUACGUUAAUAAACAAGCCACAAGCACUGUGCAUGAUCCCAACCAUCCUGAAGCAAAAGACUUCUCUGUGACUCUAGAGAAGGGUGAUAAUUACGUUCUGAAGGUGGGCUCAGUGAAGUUCACCCAUGCUGGAGUUUAUUACUGCGCUGUCUGGACGAGCAGCCACAGUGAGAAAAACUGCUCACAUCCUGUACAAUAA
Non-coding RNA from Astyanax mexicanus (Mexican tetra), 452 nucleotides. NCBI's taxonomy places the organism in Eukaryota, Metazoa, Chordata, Actinopteri, Characiformes, Acestrorhamphidae. The record is from the annotation of a RefSeq genome assembly.